ACGGGUGAGUAACACGUGGAUAACCUACCUAUAAGACUGGGAUAACUUCGGGAAACCGGAGCUAAUACCUGAUAACAUAUUGAACCGCAUGGUUCAAUAGUGAAAGGCGGCUUUGCUGUCACUUAUAGAUGGAUCCGCGCCGUAUUAGCUAGUUGGUAAGGUAACGGCUUACCAAGGCAACGAUACGUAACCGACCUGAGAGGGUGAUCGGCCACACUGGAACUGAGACACGGUCCAGACUCCUACGGGAGGCAGCAGUAGGGAAUCUUCCGCAAUGGGCGAAAGCCUGACGGAGCAACGCCGCGUGAGUGAUGAAGGUCUUCGGAUCGUAAAACUCUGUUAUCAGGGAAGAACAAAUGUGUAAGUAACUGUGCACAUCUUGACGGUACCUGAUCAGAAAGCCACGGCUAACUACGUGCCAGCAGCCGCGGUAAUACGUAGGUGGCAAGCGUUAUCCGGAAUUAUUGGGCGUAAAGCGCGCGUAGGCGGUUUUUUAAGUCUGAUGUGAAAGCCCACGGCUCAACCGUGGAGGGUCAUUGGAAACUGGAAAACUUGAGUGCAGAAGAGGAAAGUGGAAUU
RNAcentral lists this ribosomal RNA (579 nucleotides) under uncultured bacterium. RNAcentral's name for it is "bacterial SSU rRNA". It matches the Rfam family "Bacterial small subunit ribosomal RNA", at positions 102 to 668 of the family's 1533-position model. The record is from RNAcentral.